RNAcentral lists this ribosomal RNA (442 nucleotides) under uncultured bacterium. RNAcentral's name for it is "bacterial SSU rRNA". It matches the Rfam family "Bacterial small subunit ribosomal RNA", at positions 338 to 796 of the family's 1533-position model. The record is from RNAcentral.
CCUACGGGUGGCAGCAGUUGGGAAUUUUCCGCAAUGGACGAAAGUCUGACGGAGCAACACCGCGUGCAGGAUGAAGGCCUUCGGGUUGUAAACUGCUUUUAUCUGUGACGAUUUUGACGGUAGCAGAUGAAUAAGGAUCGGCUAACUACGUGCCAGCAGCCGCGGUCAUACGUAGGAUCCAAGCGUUAUCCGGAAUUACUGGGCGUAAAGAGUUGCGUAGGUGGCAUAGUAAGCGAAGCAUGAAAUCUUGUGGCUCAACCAUGAGGCUAUGCUUUGAACUACUAAGCUUGAACAUGAGAGAGGUACCUGGAAUUCCCAGUGUAGGAGUGAAAUCCGUAGAUAUUGGGAGGAACACCGAUGGCGUAGGCAGGGUACUGGCUCAUUGUUGACACUAAGGCACGAAAGCGUGGGGAGCGAACGGGAUUAGAUACCCUUGUAGUCC